UUAUGUACAUACCUACAGUGUUAAUGCAAUGGAUCCCAUUAGAACUUCAUAAUUAAGUGUGCUUGGGACAGAGUAGUACUAGGAUGGGUGACCUCCUAGGAAGUCCUAGCGUUUUGCAUUCC
Non-coding RNA from Picea glauca (white spruce), 122 nucleotides. The record is from Rfam. Lineage: Eukaryota; Viridiplantae; Streptophyta; Pinopsida; Pinales; Pinaceae.